This is a long non-coding RNA of Bufo bufo (common toad), 176 nucleotides long. RefSeq lists it as uncharacterized. The transcript is spliced from 3 exons. The record is from RefSeq and is a predicted model, not a curated record. Lineage: Eukaryota; Metazoa; Chordata; Amphibia; Anura; Bufonidae.
UAGAACAGGGAUGCUCAACCUGCAGCCCUCCAGCUGUUGUAAAACUACAACUCCCAUCAUGCUCGGCUGUAGGCGGAUAGCUGUAGGCUUUCCGGGCAAGCUGGGAGUUGUAGUUUUGCAACAGCUGGAGGGCUGCAGGUUGAGCAUCCCUGUUCUAGACCUGUACUCAUCUGCUG